UAUUUUAAGACUCUACCUUAUCACCUCCACCUGUGCCUCAUUCUGCAAAUAUCUACAAUGUUAUUAUUCUCUCUAGUAUUCUGAAAAUAUCUACUCACUAUAAACAAUUGAGUGGGGUUAACUCCAACCCUAUGAGCCCUCACUCAAUCAUAACAUUUCAAACCUAUCAACUUUGUGAACACUUGGGCCUCGAUGCAACUGAUCUCCAUAGAUAUUGAGCACACAUCAAUAUGCCCUACGAUAAGGCAUGUAGCCCUCUCUUAUAUUUUAGAAAAAAAUUAUAUCUUAAUAUUUGAAAAAAAUGAAACUAUAAAUCAUUAGACAAAAUGAUUAUUAAUGUAUACAAAUAUAUCUCUCGACUCCUCCUAGAC
Molecule: long non-coding RNA, 371 nt
Filed under: Elaeis guineensis (African oil palm)
Lineage: Eukaryota; Viridiplantae; Streptophyta; Magnoliopsida; Arecales; Arecaceae
Description: long non-coding RNA (EGUI_LNC047173)
Source: RNAcentral